GCCGUAGCUCAGUGACAGAGCAACUGCUUUGCAUGCAGAAGGCCCCAGAUUCAAUCCCUAGCAUCUCCA
This 69-nucleotide transfer RNA is filed under the name Podarcis lilfordi (Lilford's wall lizard). RNAcentral describes it as "tRNA.Ala". It matches the Rfam family "tRNA". Rfam says of the family: Transfer RNA (tRNA) molecules are approximately 80 nucleotides in length. Their secondary structure includes four short double-helical elements and three loops (D, anti-codon, and T loops). Lineage: Eukaryota; Metazoa; Chordata; Lepidosauria; Squamata; Lacertidae. The record is from RNAcentral.